UUAAGUGACUAAGCGUACACGGUGGAUGCCUGGGCAGUCAGAGGCGAUGAAGGACGUACUAACUUGCGAUAAGCGCAGAUAAGGCAGUAAGAGCCGUUUGAGUCUGCGAUUUCCGAAUGGGGAAACCCAACUGCAUAAGCAGUUACUGUUAACUGAAUACAUAGGUUAACAGAGCAAACCGGGGGAACUGAAACAUCUAAGUACCCCGAGGAGAAGAAAUCAACCGAGAUUCCGGUAGUAGCGGCGAGCGAACCUGGAUUAGCCCUUAAGCACUCGGUGAAGUAGGUGAACAAGCUGGAAAGCUUGGCGAUACAGGGUGAUAGCCCCGUAACCGACGCUUCAUCGAGCGUGAAAUCGAGUAGGACGGGACACGUGAUAUCCUGUCUGAAUAUGGGGGGACCAUCCUCCAAGGCUAAAUACUCCUGACUGACCGAUAGUGAACCAG
RNAcentral lists this ribosomal RNA (445 nucleotides) under Vibrio cholerae HC-7A1. RNAcentral describes it as "bacterial LSU rRNA". It matches the Rfam family "Bacterial large subunit ribosomal RNA", at positions 1 to 498 of the family's 2925-position model. Lineage: Bacteria; Pseudomonadati; Pseudomonadota; Gammaproteobacteria; Vibrionales; Vibrionaceae. The record is from RNAcentral.